This is a long non-coding RNA of Nilaparvata lugens (brown planthopper), 386 nucleotides long. RefSeq lists it as uncharacterized. NCBI's taxonomy places the organism in Eukaryota, Metazoa, Arthropoda, Insecta, Hemiptera, Delphacidae. The record is from RefSeq and is a predicted model, not a curated record. The transcript has 2 exons.
GGAUAAUAGUUUCCCACCAUGCAUGCUGGUAAAUAAAUGUUUACCCUCUAUGAUCUCCUUGUUCUAUGAUCUCCCAAUUACUAUUACUGACAAAAUAACAUAUGGAGCAUCAUCUGUGCAUAGUUUUCUGACGUCAGCAGCUACGAAAUUGUGGUUAAUUUGCAAAUCACUGAAAAGUGGGAAGAUAAUAUCCCACUGCUCAUUUAGCGACACUGGAUUUCGACCGAUUCAAUGUAGCUCUCAUUUCAAUUGCAAAUUGCAAAUAGAAGAUUCAUCAUCUCAAGACGUUUGAGGUUCCAUUCUUGAAACAUGAAUGAACAAAGCCUGCAUUGGAGUAAUUCCAACAUUGAAUUGUGAGAUAAAGAUUGGACUUCAACUACAGUAAC